CCGCUCGCAGCUGGGUAGCGGGGAGCGCGGGCUCCAAAGAGCAUCCCAGGCGGAGGCAGGGCUGGAUGCGCGUCCAUCUAAGGGGUCGGCAACAUUUCUUAAAAUGCUGAAGUUGCUAGAAAGCUGACUCCUCCUGGGUCCUCCUCCUGCUUUUUCCCUGAAUCUGGAAAAGUCCCCUUAUCUUCCUCCACUUCUUCACACAAUGUGAGCAGUCCUAAGUCAGACCUUCCUGGUUUUGCAAGCCCUGACUCUCCCCCACCUGGGGUGACUACCUUAAAUCAGAAAUGAAGGUGGGGCUGUUUCAAUUACCUUUUGGUUAGAUCUGCUUAGGGGGCUUUCUUCUUUCUUUUGGGGUCUUCUGUCGACCCUGCCUUCUCCCUUGCAGUGAUUAUGCCAGGAGUUUGAGAGAAGCAUUAUGGAGGACAAUGGUGUAGUCACAUAAUUUCCAAAGACUCAGCAAAAAUAUAGUUGGACCCUGCCUGCUGUCUGUGUAGACCAGUGGGUGCUUCUGGGAGACAGGGACUGGGUUUCUUUGGGCUCCCUUCAACUACUCUUAAAAAGCUUUACUAAUACCUAGGGACCAACCUAGGAUCUCCAGAAGGACAUCAAGUCUCCCCCUAGUUCGAAGGAGAGGACAGCACCGCCUAUUAUCAUUUGCAGGGACCAGUGCAUAAGGAAAAUAGCAGCUCCUUAUUCAACUCAUUAAGAAUGUCCAGAAGGCGAGCAGUGUUAAACCAAGCGCUGAGCCCUCUUCUUGGAAGACUCGUGGGUGUACACAGAUUUCAUCCUGUUAUUCAGCAGAAUAUGGAGACUUCAUCUAAAAUUGAAAAAUGAAAAUGACCUUUGAGGAAAGCAUUGUUUUGCAAAAAUGCUCUUGACCAACAAUGGAAAAAGAACAUACUGCAGUUUCGAUUGUUGUGGGACUCAGGUUUUCUCUCAGCACUGCAUAAACACUUGGAGACAUGGGAAGAAGGUCUGAUGGAGAAUGAGGCUCAGCUGAAUCGCUUCGGCUUAAAAAGAUAAGACGUGAAGUGAGCAGCACUCCAACUCACUAGGGAGAAAACCAGAGCUUUACAAUUGACUGUGAGGGGCCCCGCGGCCAAGACCGGCUGCUGGCUGCAGUAAUCAUUACUAACCACUCUGCUACAGCUGGACAGCCCCACUGGGCCUUCUUCCAGAGCUGCUACUACACCACUUUAUUUCUAAGGCUUUGACCUCCACAGGCCCCUGAGAUCUUAUAAGCAACCAAGUAAACAUAAAAAGAAAAACUUCAUUUGCUGCAAUAUGAGGUUAUUUUCCAAAAACCUUAAGGAAACAAGUAAAUAUAAGGAACUUAACCUUCGCAUGGCUGAGAGCUGUAGUGUUUACCAAAGGCUUUGUCUUUGGGAAUGUCAGGAUACAGAUACUUCAGAGGGUUUUCAGGAAUGUUUUCUGCCAUGAUAACCUUGUAGUCUCGAAGGAUGUCAGCGAAGGGCAGAGCAGACAACCGACCUUUAUUGUAGGGUUCUACAGAGUGGAAUCUUACUUCUCCUGGAAAAACAGGAAGUGGGGAGUAUUCAGGUUCCUGCAGGCAUUCUUUGUGGCCUUUCUUCCUGCCCACACUACCUUCAUGUCGCUGGUUAUAAACAAUGCAGCCCUUCUCAGCAGAUUGUCACAUGAUGGAGGACACCCACACAGACUGUGAGAAAUUCAUAGCCCUGUUCUGGGAUCAUUGUAACAACUAAUAUUCAAACCCACUGAACACGUGAAAAUCAGAAGAAAACAUCAUACCACAUACUUCUGAAAACUGAGAUACUAAUAACCAAACUCAAGAAUCUUGCAGUCACAUGAAUAAAUAGUAGUGAGCAUGUACCAUUUUCUGAAUGGUCUACCCAAGUGAAAGUUAUUCCUCCAAGAUGGCUUUCACUGAAUCUCAACAAAAAGGUUCCAGGCAUUUUGUCCUUCAGCAAGAGUCGUUCCUUCUCUUUGCUAACAAAACCCAUGACAUACCUAAAAACAGAACAAGGCAUAGUUUUAUCUACUCAUGACAGUAAUUUAUUGCGUUCAUGUUUAGUUCAUUUGCAAAGAAAAGAGCUAAAUUUGUUUUUAGUAUAGUCAAAAGUCAGUGGUGCCUGAGAUAGUCUUUUACAGAUUAAAUAUCCUCACUCUACGAAAAAUGCAAGAAACUACAACUAUUUCCCCCACCACCACACACACUAAAUAUGCUUAAAAAUAAGACAAAAAAGCAAGCAAACAAACAAACAAGCAAAAAACCCAAUCACAAACCAACAGCAAAAAUACAAAAAUCUAAUGACCUAAUGGAAAAGAUAAUCUAUAACUCACCCGUCAAUCCAAAGGGGAAGAAUAUGUUUCUUAAUUAGAUCUAAUAUUGCUUCAAGCCAUGUCCAAAAGGUAAAUGAUUUACCAGGUAAGUGUUCCUAUCAAAUAAACACAUUAGGACCGUGAUCAUUUCAACAGUAAUGGUGACAAUAAUUCAAGUUUCAUUUUUUAAGAAAAUAUUUUCUUUUAAAUGAAACAAGACUUUAGAAUUUCUUAAAAAAAAAAAAAAACAAAAAAACCCCAAUCCAGGAAAUCCUCAAAAUUCUGGAUUAUUCUGUGGAAAUUUAGAAAGGGAUACUAUUUUUUAAAAGUGAUGAUUAAAAUGAUAUUCCCCUCUCCACUGUUUGUACCUUGCAGAACUUUGCCCAGGUGAGAUGACCAUCAUUGUAGCUAGACUGGGCUGAAAUAAAAUAAAACAAUGAGCUUUUUAUUAAACAAUUAGAUGAUUGUUCCAUUUGGUACUCAAUUUAGAUUCUCUUCUCCCCCCACUCAUACAUGCACUUCUUGAGCAUGCUGAUUAUAGGUUAUUUAAUAUUUGAACAGUAAAAAUAUAAGAUAUGAAAUUUAUUAUAUGGGAAAGAAUUCUUUUAAAAGGAAGAGCUAAAGAUAUAAAGAGGGCCAGUUUAAGUUAAGGAACAGGCCCUAGGAAAGGGUAGAAUGUAAAUUGUCAGAAGAGAGGAAGGAGGUCACUCUAGUAGCAAAAAUAAUGUAGGAAGAUUUAUGGUGGACAUGAAAUUGACUUAAGUAGGAGACAGGAAGAACAGUCUAUGGUUGGUGAACAAACAUUAUAAAACGUUACCAGCAGUCUUCACUGUUAUGAUUAAAAGUAUGACCUAGAGAUACAUUAGGUAAUAAGAAGCCAUUAUUUUUAAUCCAGGGCAGUGAAAGGAUUCAAGAGUUUCUAAAAUUUUAAGAAAAUUAUACUCAUAAUUUUAUUAAAAAGAAUAAUUUGUUAAAAAUCUGAAAGGAUAUGAAGGAUAUGGCUACUAUCUAUACAACACAUUUAAAAGCUUGAUUCACCUAUUAAAUAUUUAUUAAGUACUGUUAUUAUAGUUUGCUGCAUAGAUACAUCAUUGGUUCUUCUGACUUAACUGGAAAUGUACACAAACUCAUUUUCCCUCUGCUUUUUUGGUGCUAAAUGUGUUCACCCAGACUUGUCAAAAUACAGAUAUCUUUUAAGAAUUCUUUUAGGAAAAACUAUAGUCACUACCAGGAGUUCCAAUGACACAAUUUUGCAAACUUUAAAAAUAUCAGUCAAAGAUGAAACAGUCUUGCUAUGCAAAAUUAAGUAUUACCUGGGUGAUUUUAAGUUUUUAUUAAAUUUCUUGGUUUUUGUGAAGGAGUCAGCUAUUUUCCAGUUGGUUGAUGAGCAUUAUGAUAUUAAUAUGAAUGAUCAAGGCACUAUUAAGGCUUCAUAUUACAUUCAGUGGAAAUGAUACAAGAACACCCUGGAUACUGGAGUAUGGAGUGGGAAAAAGGGGACUUUAGAACUGGCCAGGUCUCGCCUGAGUCUUAACUCUGCUUUGUACUAGCCAUGCAGCUGUUGCAAGUCACUUAAUAACAGUUAUAACAACUGAAGUAUCCUCAUCACAUCAUCCUCAUUUAUAAAAUGGAGACUGUUCUGCCUAAAGAACCUGUGAGACUUAAAGAUGAUGUAGCAUUUAGGCAUGUAUCUGGUAAUAUAGUCACUUAAUAAAUUGUGAUGACCACUGAUAUUAUUAAUAAUGGUUAUAUCACCUGGUUCUUUAAAACACUCAAGUACCAAAAACAGAGGCAGGGCCUCCAUAUCACCCAGCUCUCACCUGUGAGCUUCUCUGCCAGCAUAUUGAGUUGAUCUGAAUUAAGGCCCCGACCCACAUAAGAUGAAAACUGCCAGCUCAUCACUUCUAGGAGUUGACUCAAAGUAGCAGAUGGAGGAUUAUUAAAGAAAACCAAGUUCUGAAAUAGAGUUGUAAUGAUAAUUAUAUUUAUUACUCACUCUGAAAACACCAUGAUGGAUUAUUACAUUCCUGAUUUAAACUUACUAGGCCAAGCUAAAUCGACAACACAGAAAAUAAUUUCACCUCUGCUGUGCUUUUCAAAACUGUUUUUGUUUAUUCUUAAAGAGUUCCUUGUUUGUUGAGAUUAAUAUAAUACAGGGCCCCACCUUAUCCUUGAAGGAAACUCUGAAUAUCUCUUUAACUUUCUCUAGACUAUCAAUACCAGUAUCUUAAACUUUCACAAUAUUACAUGUCAACUAUAUCUCAAUAAAGCUGGAAAAAGUAAUCAGAC
Molecule: long non-coding RNA, 4590 nt
Organism: Talpa occidentalis (Iberian mole)
Lineage: Eukaryota; Metazoa; Chordata; Mammalia; Eulipotyphla; Talpidae
Exons: 4
Source: RefSeq, a predicted model, not a curated record